This 643-nucleotide ribosomal RNA is filed under the name Pleurotopsis longinqua. RNAcentral's name for it is "eukaryotic LSU rRNA". It matches the Rfam family "Eukaryotic large subunit ribosomal RNA", at positions 1 to 625 of the family's 3401-position model. The record is from RNAcentral. Lineage: Eukaryota; Fungi; Basidiomycota; Agaricomycetes; Agaricales; Pleurotaceae.
UGACCUCAAAUCAGGUAGGACUACCCGCUGAACUUAAGCAUAUCAAUAAGCGGAGGAAAAGAAACUAACAAGGAUUCCCCUAGUAACUGCGAGUGAAGAGGGAAAAGCUCAAAUUUAAAAUCUGGCGGUUCUUGCAGCCGUCCGAGUUGUAAUUUAGAGAAGUGUUAUCCGCGCUGGACCGUGUACAAGUCUCCUGGAAUGGAGCGUCAUAGAGGGUGAGAAUCCCGUCUUUGACACGGACUACCAGGGCUUUGUGAUGCGCUCUCGAAGAGUCGAGUUGUUUGGGAAUGCAGCUCAAAAUGGGUGGUAAAUUCCAUCUAAAGCUAAAUAUUGGCGAGAGACCGAUAGCGAACAAGUACCGUGAGGGAAAGAUGAAAAGAACUUUGGAAAGAGAGUUAAACAGUACGUGAAAUUGUUGAAAGGGAAACGCUUGAAGUCAGUCGCGUUGGCUGGGGAUCAACCUUGCUUUUUGCUUGGCGUACUUCUCAGUUGAUGGGUCAGCAUCAGUUUUGACCGCUGGAUAAAGAUUGAGGGAAUGUGGCAUCCUCGGAUGUGUUAUAGCCCUUAGUUGUAUACAGCGGUUGGGACUGAGGAACUCAGCACGCCGCAAGGCCGGGUCUUUGACCACGUACGUGCUAGGAUG